UCGCAGGCGGUGGUGAAAUUAAAGAUCGACUAAGCAUGUAGUACCAAAGAUGAAUGGUUUUCGGACGCGGGUUCAACUCCCGCCAGCUCCACCA
RNAcentral lists this transfer-messenger RNA (94 nucleotides) under Vibrionaceae bacterium. Its description in RNAcentral is "partial transfer-messenger RNA". It matches the Rfam family "transfer-messenger RNA", at positions 275 to 374 of the family's 374-position model. Rfam says of the family: Bacterial tmRNA, also known as 10Sa RNA or SsrA, is named for its dual tRNA and mRNA-like properties. Its role is to liberate the mRNA from a stalled ribosome. To accomplish this part of the tmRNA is used as a reading frame that ends in a translation stop signal. The record is from RNAcentral. Lineage: Bacteria; Pseudomonadati; Pseudomonadota; Gammaproteobacteria; Vibrionales; Vibrionaceae.